Molecule: ribosomal RNA, 242 nt
Filed under: uncultured bacterium
Lineage: Bacteria
Description: partial 16S ribosomal RNA
Rfam family: Bacterial small subunit ribosomal RNA
Source: RNAcentral
CACGCAGUAAACGAUGAUUACUAGGAGUUUGCGAUAGACAGUAAGCUCCCGAGCGAAAGCGUUAAGUAAUCCACCUGGGGAGUACGCCGGCAACGGUGAAACUCAAAGGAAUUGACGGGGGCCCGCACAAGCGGAGGAACAUGUGGUUUAAUUCGAUGAUACGCGAGGAACCUUACCCGGGCUCAAACGGAAGAGGAGCGUGCGUGAAAGCGUGCGGUCCGCAAGGACCUCUUCCGAGGUGC